CGCUUAUCAUACGGGCUGACGCUCCAAGCCGUGUACACCUUUCGGAUAAACGCAGAUGGACGUGAUAAAAGACUCGGAAUGUACACUAAUUGGAUUAGAACACGGUGGCUUGCGUACAUAGUCAAGCGGCGAAAUUUGGACGUACAAGUUCGAAAACCGUGGCGGUGCUAAACUCCGAAACUCUACUUCGAUCGGCAACGCCUUCGUAACGCACGGUGACAAAGGACAGACAGACGUUUUCCUGAUUCAGGGAAAUCCUUCAUUUGAUGUUUCACAGGCAAUAUCAGUCUCAAAGGUAAUCG
RNAcentral lists this unclassified non-coding RNA (302 nucleotides) under Bombus terrestris (buff-tailed bumblebee). Its description in RNAcentral is "misc RNA ENSBTSG00005021545.1". The record is from RNAcentral. Lineage: Eukaryota; Metazoa; Arthropoda; Insecta; Hymenoptera; Apidae.